This 320-nucleotide unclassified non-coding RNA is filed under the name plant metagenome. RNAcentral's name for it is "partial contains 5.8S ribosomal RNA, internal transcribed spacer 2, and large subunit ribosomal RNA". The stretch from base 1 to 105 matches the Rfam family "5.8S ribosomal RNA", at positions 50 to 154 of the family's 154-position model. The record is from RNAcentral.
GAAAUGCGAUAAGUAAUGUGAAUUGCAGAAUUCAGUGAAUCAUCGAAUCUUUGAACGCACAUUGCGCCAGCCAGUAUUCUGGCGGGCAUGCCUGUUCGAGCGUCAUUACAACCCUCAGGCCCCCGGGCCUGGCGUUGGGGAUCGGCGGAAGCCCCCUGCGGGCACAACGCCGUCCCCCAAAUACAGUGGCGGUCCCGCCGCAGCUUCCAUUGCGUAGUAGCUAACACCUCGCAACUGGAGAGCGGCGCGGCCACGCCGUAAAACACCCAACUUCUGAAUGUUGACCUCGAAUCAGGUAGGAAUACCCGCUGAACUUAAGC